GCUUCCUUAGCUCAGUCGGUAGAGCGCCAGUCUCAUAGGUUCAUUAUGAGCAGUGGAGUAUACUGCCUAAUCUGGAGGUCGCAAGUUCGAGACUUGCAGGGAGCA
This 105-nucleotide transfer RNA is filed under the name Lentinula lateritia. Its description in RNAcentral is "tRNA-Met". It matches the Rfam family "tRNA". From Rfam's summary of the family: Transfer RNA (tRNA) molecules are approximately 80 nucleotides in length. The record is from RNAcentral. Lineage: Eukaryota; Fungi; Basidiomycota; Agaricomycetes; Agaricales; Omphalotaceae.